UUGUUCGUUAAGCAUGCAAGUCGAGCGGCAAGCGCAGCAAUGCGCCUAGAGCGGCGGACUGGUGAGUAACGCGUGGAUGAUCUGCCCUUGGGAUGGGGAUAGCCAUUAGAAAUAGUGGGUAAUACCGAAUACGCUCGCAUGAUUGCGGUCAUGUGAGGAAAGGCGCUACGGCGCGGCCCGAGGAUGAGUCUGCGUCCCAUUAGCUAGUUGGUGAGGUAAUGGCCCACCAAGGCGAUGAUGGGUAGCCGGCCUGAGAGGGUGUACGGCCACACUGGGACUGAGAUACGGCCCAGACUCCUACGGGAGGCAGCAGCUAAGAAUAUUCCGCAAUGGACGAAAGUCUGACGGAGCGACGCCGCGUGGAUGAAGAAGGCCGAAAGGUUGUAAAGUUCUUUUGUCGGGGAAGAAUAAGCCUGGGAGGGAAUGCCCGGGUGAUGACAUGAACCGGCGAAUAAGCCCCGGCUAACUACGUGCCAGCAGCCGCGGUAACACGUAGGGGGCGAGCGUUGUUCGGAAUUACUGGGCGUAAAGGGCAUGUAGGCGGCUUGGCAAGCCUGGCGUGAAAGUCCACGGCUCAACCGUGGGAUUGCGUUGGGAACUGCAGAGCUCGAGUUACGGAGAGGAAGCUAGAAUUCCUGGUGUAGGGGUGAAAUCUGUAGAUAUCAGGAAGAAUACCAAUGGCGAAGGCAAGCUUCUGGCCGAUGACUGACGCUGAGGUGCGAAAGUGUGGGGAUCAAACAGGAUUAGAUACCCUGGUAGUCCACACGGUAAACGAUGUGCACUAGGUGCUGGGGCGGAUGCUUCAGUGCCGGAGCUAACGCGGUAAGUGCACCGCCUGGGGAGUAUGCUCGCAAGGGUG
RNAcentral lists this ribosomal RNA (859 nucleotides) under uncultured bacterium. RNAcentral's name for it is "bacterial SSU rRNA". It matches the Rfam family "Bacterial small subunit ribosomal RNA", at positions 44 to 896 of the family's 1533-position model. The record is from RNAcentral.